UACGUAGGGUGCAAGCGUUGUCCGGAAUUAUUGGGCGUAAAGAGCUCGUAGGCGGUUUGUUGCGUCGGCUGUGAAAUCCCGAGGCUCAACCUCGGGUCUGCAGUCGAUACGAGCAAACUAGGGUGUUGCAGGGGAAACUGGAAUUCCUGGUGUAGCGGUGAAAUGCGCAGAUAUCAGGAGGAACACCGGUGGCGAAGGCGCACAUCUGGCCCAAUACUGACGCUGAGGCGCGAAAGCUAGGGGAGCGAACAGG
Molecule: ribosomal RNA, 253 nt
Filed under: uncultured bacterium
Lineage: Bacteria
Description: partial 16S ribosomal RNA
Rfam family: Bacterial small subunit ribosomal RNA
Source: RNAcentral